This 374-nucleotide ribosomal RNA is filed under the name uncultured organism. RNAcentral's name for it is "bacterial SSU rRNA". It matches the Rfam family "Bacterial small subunit ribosomal RNA", at positions 526 to 897 of the family's 1533-position model. The record is from RNAcentral.
CGAAGGGAGCAAGCGUUAUUCGGAAUCACUGGGCGUAAAGGGCGUGUAGGCGGUUGAUUAAGUCAGUUGUUAAAUUCCUCAGCCUAACUGAGGCACAGCGAUUGAAACUGAUCAGCUAGAGUGCAGAAGAGAGAAGUGGAAUUAUCGGAGUAGCGGUAAAAUGCGUAGAUCUCGAUAGGAACACCGAUGGCGAAGGCAGCUUCUUGGUCUGUUACUGACGCUAAAAUGCGAAAGCGUGGGGAGCAAACAGGAUUAGAUACCCUGGUAGUCCACGCCGUAAACGAUGAUCACUGGACGUGGGUUUUGCAUUGCAAAAUCCGUGUCGUAGCUAACGCGUUAAGUGAUCCGCCUGGGAAGUACGGUCGCAAGAUUAA